CCUACGGGUGGCUGCAGUGGGGAAUAUUGGACAAUGGGCGAAAGCCUGAUCCAGCCAUGCCGCGUGUGUGAAGAAGGCCUUCGGGUUGUAAAGCACUUUCAGUGGGGAAGAAAGCCUUGGGGCUAAUACCCUCGAGGAAGGACAUCACCCACAGAAGAAGCACCGGCUAACUCCGUGCCAGCAGCCGCGGUAAUACGGAGGGUGCGAGCGUUAAUCGGAAUUACUGGGCGUAAAGCGCGCGUAGGCGGUCUGAUAAGCCGGUUGUGAAAGCCCAGGGCUCAACCUGGGAACGGCAUCCGGAACUGUCAGGCUAGAGUGCAGGAGAGGAAGGUAGAAUUCCCGGUGUAGCGGUGAAAUGCGUAGAGAUCGGGAGGAAUACCAGUGGCGAAGGCGGCCUUCUGGACUGACACUGACGCUGAGGUGCGAAAGCGUGGGUAGCAAACAGGAUUAGAUACCCUAGUAGUC
This 465-nucleotide ribosomal RNA is filed under the name Vreelandella stevensii. Its description in RNAcentral is "partial 16S ribosomal RNA". It matches the Rfam family "Bacterial small subunit ribosomal RNA", at positions 338 to 795 of the family's 1533-position model. The record is from RNAcentral. Lineage: Bacteria; Pseudomonadati; Pseudomonadota; Gammaproteobacteria; Oceanospirillales; Halomonadaceae.